Molecule: ribosomal RNA, 468 nt
Filed under: uncultured bacterium
Lineage: Bacteria
Description: partial 16S ribosomal RNA
Rfam family: Bacterial small subunit ribosomal RNA
Source: RNAcentral
GACGAACGCUGGCGGCGUGCUUAACACAUGCAAGUCGAACGGUGAAGCUCCAGCUUGCUGGCGUGGAUCAGUGGCGCACGGGUGAGUAACACGUGAGCAACCUGCCCCUGUCUCUGGAAUAAGCGCUGGAAACGGCGUCUAAUACUGGAUACGAGAUGGUUCCGCAUGUGCACUUUCUGGAAAGUUUGUCGGUUGGGGAUGGACUCGCGGGCUAUCAGCUUGUUUGUGAGGUAGUGGCUCACCAAGGCGACGACGGGUAGCCGGCCUGAGAGGGGGACCGGCCACACUGGGACUGAGACACGGCGCAGACGCCUACGGGAGGCAGCAGUGGGGAAUAUUGCACAAUGGGCGAAAGCCUGAUGCAGCGACGCCGCGUGAGGGAUGACGGCCUUCGGGUUGUAAACCUCUUUCAGCAGGGAAGAAGCGAAAGUGACGGUACCUGCAGAAGAAGCACCGGCUAACUACGUG